CCUACGGGUGGCAGCAGUGGGGAAUAUUGGACAAUGGGGGCAACCCUGAUCCAGCCAUGCCGCGUGUGUGAAGAAGGCCCUCGGGUUGUAAAGCACUUUCAGUGAGGAAGAACGCCUGGUGGUUAAUACCCAUCAGGAAAGACAUCACUCACAGAAGAAGCACCGGCUAACUCCGUGCCAGCAGCCGCGGUAAUACGGAGGGUGCGAGCGUUAAUCGGAAUUACUGGGCGUAAAGCGCGCGUAGGUGGCUUGAUAAGCCGGUUGUGAAAGCCCCGGGCUCAACCUGGGGACGGCAUCCGGAACUGUCAAGCUAGAGUGCAGGAGAGGAAGGUAGAAUUCCCGGUGUAGCGGUGAAAUGCGUAGAGAUCGGGAGGAAUACCAGUGGCGAAGGCGGCCUUCUGGACUGACACUGACACUGAGGUGCGAAAGCGUGGGUAGCAAACAGGAUUAGAUACCCCGGUAGUC
RNAcentral lists this ribosomal RNA (465 nucleotides) under Vreelandella stevensii. RNAcentral describes it as "partial 16S ribosomal RNA". It matches the Rfam family "Bacterial small subunit ribosomal RNA", at positions 338 to 795 of the family's 1533-position model. The record is from RNAcentral. Lineage: Bacteria; Pseudomonadati; Pseudomonadota; Gammaproteobacteria; Oceanospirillales; Halomonadaceae.